Molecule: RNase P RNA, 328 nt
Filed under: Glaciimonas immobilis
Lineage: Bacteria; Pseudomonadati; Pseudomonadota; Betaproteobacteria; Burkholderiales; Oxalobacteraceae
Description: Oxalobacteraceae bacterium Cr9-30 Bacterial RNase P class A
Rfam family: Bacterial RNase P class A
About the family: Ribonuclease P (RNase P) is a ubiquitous endoribonuclease, found in archaea, bacteria and eukarya as well as chloroplasts and mitochondria. Its best characterised activity is the generation of mature 5'-ends of tRNAs by cleaving the 5'-leader elements of precursor-tRNAs.
Source: Rfam by way of RNAcentral
GAAGUAAGCCAGACAACCGCUGGUCGUGCAGUGCAAGCUGCGUGGCGGGAGGAAGGUCCGGACUCCAUAGAGCAGGGUGACGGUUAAUGGCCGUCCGCCGUGAGGCGAGGAAUAGGGCCACAGAGACGAGCGUAUUAAGUUACGGUGAAACGCGGUAACCUCCACCCGGAGCAAUUCCAAAUAGGCACGCGUUGAUGUUGCUCGCGGAGCGUGCGGGUAGGAAGCUUGAGCGCUGGAGUAAUUCAGCGCCUAGAGGAAUGGUUGUCAUAACGGGCGGGCGCAAGCCUCAACGUCGUAACAGAAUCCGGCCUAUCGGCUUACUUCAUUU